This 253-nucleotide ribosomal RNA is filed under the name uncultured bacterium. RNAcentral describes it as "partial 16S ribosomal RNA". It matches the Rfam family "Bacterial small subunit ribosomal RNA", at positions 524 to 777 of the family's 1533-position model. The record is from RNAcentral.
UACAGAGACUGCAAGCGUUAUUCGGAUUCACUGGGCGUAAAGGGUGCGCAGGCGGUUGGGUGUGUCAGAUGUGAAAUCCCGAGGCUCAACCUCGGAACUGCGUCUGAAACUACUCGACUAGAGUACUGGAGAGGGUAACGGAAUUCACGGUGUAGCAGUGAAAUGCGUAGAUAUCGGGAGGAACACCAGUGGCGAAGGCGGCGUCUGGGAAGAUACUGACGCUGAGGUGCGAAAGCGUGGGGAGCAAACAGGG